RNAcentral lists this unclassified non-coding RNA (440 nucleotides) under Fusarium neocosmosporiellum. Its description in RNAcentral is "sequence contains 18S rRNA gene, ITS1, 5.8S rRNA gene, ITS2, 28S rRNA gene". The stretch from base 122 to 275 matches the Rfam family "5.8S ribosomal RNA". Lineage: Eukaryota; Fungi; Ascomycota; Sordariomycetes; Hypocreales; Nectriaceae. The record is from RNAcentral.
AACUUACCUAUAACGUUGCCUCGGCGGGAACAGACGGCCCCGUAAAACGGGCCGCCCCCGCCAGAGGACCCCUAACUCUGUUUUUAUAAUGUUUUUCUGAGUAAACAAGCAAAUAAAUUAAAACUUUCAACAACGGAUCUCUUGGCUCUGGCAUCGAUGAAGAACGCAGCGAAAUGCGAUAAGUAAUGUGAAUUGCAGAAUUCAGUGAAUCAUCGAAUCUUUGAACGCACAUUGCGCCCGCCAGUAUUCUGGCGGGCAUGCCUGUUCGAGCGUCAUUACAACCCUCAGGCCUCCGGGCCUGGCGUUGGGGAUCGGCGGAGCCCCUCCCCGGCCGUCCCCCAAAUACAGUGGCGGUCCCGCCGCAGCUUCCAUUGCGUAGUAGCUAACACCUCGCAACUGGAGAGCGGCGCGGCCACGCCGUAAAACACCCAACUUCUGAA